This is a long non-coding RNA of Triticum dicoccoides, 783 nucleotides long. RefSeq lists it as uncharacterized. The transcript has 2 exons. Lineage: Eukaryota; Viridiplantae; Streptophyta; Magnoliopsida; Poales; Poaceae. The record is from RefSeq and is a predicted model, not a curated record.
AUAACGCCCCCUCGCACUCACCUGGUCCACGCAUUCUGUGGGGCGGCGGGCCAGUUUUCCCCCAAAUCCACCACCGUCGCUCUCGGGAAUCGCCGGAAUAGUGGAAGGCGAAGGGAGAAGGGGAGAAGGGGGGAGGGGAGAAAGAGAGCGACCCCCUGCGACUGCCAAAAUGAUGACGGGAUGAGGGCCGGCUCGCCAUACGCGCGCGGCAACCAGCAAGCGGAGGAGGGAGGAGACAGGUGUCGGAGUCCCGGUGACCAGCAAGCGAAGAGCCGAGGGGACAGCGUCGUCUGUGCGCCGCGACCACCUAGCGGGGAGGAGCUAGAUCGGGGAAGGUGCCGUCGCCAGGUGGUCGAGGAAUCGGGCAGCAAAGUGCCGAAAAAAAGGUGGAGCUGGAGAGGCCGUUGGGGAGGAGGAAACUUACAUUCUAAUGCAGGAGGCGCCGGGAGGGAGGUGCUGAGCGGUUAUGAUCGGGGGUAGGAUCCUGCGCCAUGUGCGAUGGUGGUUAGGACCCUUUCUUUCCUUUUUUGUAUGACAGCUGGCAAAGGGUGCGGGACACCACUGCCAUAUUUAGGUGUGUGCUCUGGAACGCUACCCAGCCAACGUGUGCUGGCUAGUCGCGUCCAAAUAAAAGCGCGCGCAUCUCUCCACGGAACCCGGGCCCCACACAGUUGGGCCUUUUCCUUGCUUUAAUUUUUUUCAACAGAGACGUUUUCCCUGCUGCCACGUUUCACUUUUAUCUCCCAUGAUACAUUAGAAUCACCAGGCCACAUGACGUGUCAA